Molecule: non-coding RNA, 26 nt
Filed under: Mus musculus (house mouse)
Lineage: Eukaryota; Metazoa; Chordata; Mammalia; Rodentia; Muridae
Source: RNAcentral
UGAAAGGUUCACAGUACAGUCGGUGA